CCGGCCGCGGCCCCUGACGCACGCUGCGCCCCGGCCCCCUCCCGGGAGGCGGGCCCCGCCGAGGCAGAGGCGCGGCGACGGGGAGGCGGGGGUGGCGGUGUCUGCGCGCACACGCUCGCUCGCAGACACACACACACACGCACACGCGGGCCACGCCACAGACACACGACACGCACCGAGCCCUGGCCGGGCGCCGCGCGCACUCGCACCCGCGCUCACACUCACACUCACACUCGCGCGCAGGCCCCGCAGCCGCCGCCGCCGCCGGAAGCGGCGCUCGGCCCGGAUCCCGGCUGGGCUGGAGCUCGGAGUCGAACUUUGUAAAGAACUUCUUUCUGCCUCCUCGGAUCCUCAGAGCUGUCCUGUGGGGCGGGCCGGCCGGCUGCUAUCAUGUGACACUUGACAGAUGAGCAAACUGAGGUCCGAAUGGUAAAGCAAGCUGUCUGUUGAUUGAUUCCUUAGCAAGCAUUUGCCCCCAUCUGCCUUCCCCAGCUCGGUGGGU
Molecule: long non-coding RNA, 502 nt
Filed under: Zalophus californianus (California sea lion)
Lineage: Eukaryota; Metazoa; Chordata; Mammalia; Carnivora; Otariidae
Description: lncRNA (ENSZCAG00015017414.1)
Source: RNAcentral